AGACUGCUGCCACACUGGCUGGCUAGGUCGCUCUAGCACGCAAGUCUUGAAAUUGUUCAUUGUUCCUCUCACUGCCAGAAGCAGGAGGGUUGUUCUCUUGUCUUCACUGUGAGGGACCUACUAGAGGUCAGGAAGCAAAUGCACAGAAACUCCUUGGUUCUCCUUAGAAUUAGGUCUCCGGGAGCACUCUCAAGCUGGUGCAGGGCAGUGCAGCAUCGCCUGCUGUGACACUGGCUUUCAGGAAGAUGUCCACACUGGAAGGCAAGAUGGCAGGAGGCCCCUUGGUGAUGGGAACAUGUGGCUGGGACUCUUCACCUCUAAACAUUAUAGUGAAACAGAAAGAAGAGAAAGGGCUCAUACUUCUCGAUUAAGAUUUCCUGAAAUGUUUGCUUUGGGCUGCAGGAGCCAGAGCAGGAGGAAGAAAAGAAAGAGGAAAAG
RNAcentral lists this long non-coding RNA (438 nucleotides) under Cricetulus griseus (Chinese hamster). RNAcentral describes it as "lncRNA (ENSCGRG00015004582.2)". Lineage: Eukaryota; Metazoa; Chordata; Mammalia; Rodentia; Cricetidae. The record is from RNAcentral.